This 608-nucleotide long non-coding RNA is filed under the name Ananas comosus (pineapple). RNAcentral describes it as "long non-coding RNA (ACOM_LNC010750)". The record is from RNAcentral. Lineage: Eukaryota; Viridiplantae; Streptophyta; Magnoliopsida; Poales; Bromeliaceae.
AUUUUUUAACGUAUUCUAGUUUGAAGGAAUGAAUCGAAUUGCUUUAUAGACUGGAUUACGGUCGGAUCGAACUGGUUCGACCCGAUUUUAUUAGUAAAAAUUCCGACUAAAGUGUAAUGCAUUGUCAAAUGCCGGCUUUAAAGGGUGUUAGAGGAUCAAAAAUUUUGCAAGUACUUUAAGCCUCCGUUUGGUUCGGGGUUAAGGAAAAAGUAGCUAUACCAGGGAUAUGGUUAAGUUCAGGGUUAAAGUGGGAUUAAAAUUUUUUUGUGUUUGGUUGGAGGUUGGAGUUAGUCUAGAAUAGUAAAAAAAAGUGUUUGGUUGGAGUAGGUGGGAUAAAAAGAUAAUGAUUGAUAAAGAAGAAAAAGGUGAGGGCUCGGGAUGCGUGCGGGGUUAAAGUUGGGAGAGGGAGUGGGGUUAAUGAUUGAUAAAAAAGAAAAAGGUGAGGACUUGGGAUGCGUGCGGAGUUAAAGUUGGGAGGGGGAGUGAGGUUAGUAAACCCCACUAACCCGGUUUGGGGUGGGGUUUACUAACCCCACACCUUAAGAGUGGUGUUUGGGUAUAAAUUGGGGGUUAAGGGGUUAUUCCACCCCUUAACCCCCUAACCAAAC